This is a non-coding RNA of Marmota flaviventris (yellow-bellied marmot), 902 nucleotides long. Lineage: Eukaryota; Metazoa; Chordata; Mammalia; Rodentia; Sciuridae. The record is from RefSeq and is a predicted model, not a curated record.
UUUACACUAGUUUCACACCUCAUCGCCCUGUUAUUUGGCCUCAAGAUCCUGUUAGCUGUCAGUGUCUCUGCCGUCUAUGUCCACAGGAAGCAGAAGUCCUGACUAUCCUUCAUCACUCCCUGCUACCUGGGACCCUCCGUCUCUGCCACCUUCUUCCUGCUCCAUGGUGCUCAGCCUGAGAGAAGGAGCUGCCCAGAAACCUCAGUAGACUCUGCUCCACAUGCCUCCCCCAAGGACACCAGCCCACAGGCCCCUGUUGCUCCUCUGCCCAGUCCUUGAUGUUCCAUGGCUGAGUCUGCACUCAUCAUCCUGAGCUGGGCCAUGGGACCUGCCUCUGGGCAGAACUCAUGACACUUCCCAGAAUGUGACAAGCAAGCCCCACCUGACCACGUCAGGAUGCCUCUCCUCCAUUGCCUUGGGCUUGGCCAUCAAACACCCACAAGUCCUCGCUCUCAAGAGUCAUUCAGCCAUCUUUUUCCUGCCUACCCCUCCUCCCCAGCCUUGUUGAGGUUCUCACAUGAAACUCAUUCUGGUUUAAUAAGGAAAAUUUAUUCUCUUUCCUCUUUACAAAAGUUUCCUCAAACCCAGAAAAAAAAAAAAAAAGUUCUUCUUAAUCCGAUUGAUUUUCUCCCUCAGCACUUAUGAACAACACUAUUGUCCUGGAUAAAGGCAGUCACCACUCUCCAUGAAGAGCAGGAUUGUAAAAAGGACCAUGGAAACUGAAACCCUGGGAAGCCAUCUCCACAGUGGUCAUGAAAGAUAAUGAUUUUCUUCCACCUUUGCAGGAUUUGUCAAAAUUUUUUUAAAACCUAAAAUAUCAGUCAAUUUUCAUCUUAACCGUACAGGGAAAUGAAAACAAUAAUAAAAUGAGUGCUUAGUGCACAGUGAUUUGAAACAUUGAA